CCUACGGGAGGCAGCAGUGAGGAAUAUUGGUCAAUGGACGAGAGUCUGAACCAGCCAAGUAGCGUGAAGGAUGACUGCCCUAUGGGUUGUAAACUUCUUUUAUAUGGGAAUAAAAUGUUCCACGUGUGGGAUUUUGUAUGUACCAUAUGAAUAAGGAUCGGCUAACUCCGUGCCAGCAGCCGCGGUAAUACGGAGGAUCCGAGCGUUAUCCGGAUUUAUUGGGUUCAAAGGGAGCGUAGGUGGAUUGUUAAGUCAGUUGUGAAAGUUUGCGGCUCAACCGUAAAAUUGCAGUUGAAACUGGCAGUCUUGAGUACAGUAGAGGUGGGCGGAAUUCGUGGUGUAGCGGUGAAAUGCUUAGAUAUCACGAAGAACUCCGAUUGCGAAGGCAGUUCACUGGACUGCAACUGACACUGAGGCUCGAAAGUGUGGGUAUCAAACAGGAUUAGAUACCCCUGUAGUC
Molecule: ribosomal RNA, 460 nt
Filed under: uncultured bacterium
Lineage: Bacteria
Description: partial 16S ribosomal RNA
Rfam family: Bacterial small subunit ribosomal RNA
Source: RNAcentral